RNAcentral lists this ribosomal RNA (524 nucleotides) under uncultured bacterium. RNAcentral's name for it is "partial 16S ribosomal RNA". It matches the Rfam family "Bacterial small subunit ribosomal RNA", at positions 28 to 523 of the family's 1533-position model. The record is from RNAcentral.
GACGAACGCUGGCGGCGUGCCUAAUACAAGCAAGUCGAGCGCAGGAAACUGACGGAACUCUUCGGAGGGAAGGCAGUGGAAUGAGCGGCGGACGGGUGAGUAACACGUAAGGAACCUGCCUCAAGGAUUGGGAUAACUCCGAGAAAUCGGAGCUAAUACCGUAUAGUUCAUCUGACCGCCUGGUCCGUUGAUGAAAGGCGCUUCGGCGUCACCUUGAGAUGGCCUUGCGGUGCAUUAGCUAGUUGGUGGGGUAACGGCUCACCGAGGCGACGAUGCAUAGCCGACCUGAGAGGGUGAUCGGCCACACUGGGACUGAGACACGGCCCAGACUCCUACGGGAGGCAGCAGUAGGGAAUCUUCCACAAUGGACGAAAGUCUGAUGGAGCAACGCCGCGUGAGUGAUGAAGGUUUUCGGAUCGUAAAACUCUGUUGUAAGGGAAGAACACGUACGAGAGGGAAUGCUCGUACCUUGACGGUACCUUACGAGAAAGCCACGGCUAACUACGUGCCAGCCGCCGCAGUAA